GAUGAACGCUGGCGGCGUGCUUAACACAUGCAAGUCGAACGGAAAGGCCCAAGCUUGCUUGGGUACUCGAGUGGCGAACGGGUGAGUAACACGUGGGUGAUCUGCCCUGCACUUCGGGAUAAGCCUGGGAAACUGGGUCUAAUACCGGAUAGGACCACAUUUUGGAUGGUGUGGUGGAAAGUUUUUCGGUGUGGGAUGAGCUCGCGGCCUAUCAGCUUGUUGGUGGGGUAAUGGCCUACCAAGGCGUCGACGGGUAGCCGGCCUGAGAGGGUGUACGGCCACAUUGGGACUGAGGUACGGCCCAGACGCCUACGGGAGGCAGCAGUGGGGAAUAUUGCACAAUGGGCGCAAGCCUGAUGCAGCGACGCCGCGUGGGGGAUGACGGCCUUCGGGUUGUAAACUCCUUUCGCUAGGGACGAAGCGUUAUGUGACGGUACCUGGAGAAGAAGCACCGGCUAACUACGUG
RNAcentral lists this ribosomal RNA (466 nucleotides) under uncultured bacterium. RNAcentral's name for it is "partial 16S ribosomal RNA". It matches the Rfam family "Bacterial small subunit ribosomal RNA", at positions 28 to 507 of the family's 1533-position model. The record is from RNAcentral.